AGCACUUGCGUAUCCCUUGGCAGAUCUCUCUCCCACUACAGCUGCUCUCUUUUAUAUUGUUUUAACUAUAAAUAAGAACAUGCUGACUUUGCCAGCUUUCAAAACUGUUUCCCUUCCCUUUCUUUUAGCAAUUUCAGCAAGAAGAUCUACCAAAAUACCAAAAUGCUCUGCUGCUUCCUGAUUGCCCUGUGGAGUAGAAAUCAGGGCUCAUUUCUCCAUUCCAAAGCAGAGUGCGAUACUAAGAAGUGUUUCUUCUUUGUCCUAACUAUACUGGCUAUAAUUAGACAGAAAAUGCCUCUCUCUCUCUUUAUUUUUUUUUUUUAAUUGGAUGAGAGAAUUUCUGGAAGAGGCACUUAGCUGUGGGAGAGGCUUUUUUAACAGAGAUGUCUGCAGAUAUGGAGGAAGGUGCAAAAUCCCUAAAGGGCAAGGUUAACCUGCUCCCAUUGGCUUUGGUCACAGUGGGGGAAUUCAGUCAUUUUCCUGCCCUCUUGGCCCACAAGCAUCAUGGAAAAUGGCUCUUCAUUGGCUAUCAAGGCUGAAUUGCUCCAGAGUGAUUCUGCAGCUGAUUGUGUUUGGCACGUUUCAAUCUCAGCAGUCCAAAACCCAGCCUUUCCUCAACAGAAGUAUGCACUACAAGGCUUAUCGUCUCUCACUCAAAGCACGUUGUGAACAGGUGUGUAUUUCCUUCUGACAAACACCAGAAGAACCAGCUCUUCUGCCUGCCAAGGAAGAGUAACAGAAAGCUGAGUGAGGCAGUCACUCCCCUGACCCAGCGGCUUGGUCCAGCUGCCAUCACAGCUGCAGAGACCUGCAGAGAGCACUGAGAAAUGGGCCCUCCUGCUGCCAUCCAUCCCUGGGUGUCAGGCUCUCUGAAAGAAAACUGUGACAAGGUGGAAGUCAGCUGCUUCUUCGAGGCAGCAGCAAUAGAAUGAGAAAUGAUGGCUUUCAGUCGCUCCAGGGAAUGUUCAAGUUGGAUAUUAG
This is a long non-coding RNA of Tympanuchus pallidicinctus (lesser prairie-chicken), 981 nucleotides long. RefSeq lists it as uncharacterized. The transcript has 4 exons. The record is from RefSeq and is a predicted model, not a curated record. NCBI's taxonomy places the organism in Eukaryota, Metazoa, Chordata, Aves, Galliformes, Phasianidae.